ACUCGAGUGGCGAACGGUGAGUAACACGUGGGUGAUCUGCCCUGCACUUCGGGAUAAGCUUGGGAAACUGGGUCUAAUACCGGAUAGGAGCCAUCUUUAGUGUGGUGGUUGGAAAGUUUUUUCGGUGUAGGAUGAGCUCGCGGCCUAUCAGCUUGUUGGUGGGGUAGUGGCUUACCAAGGCUUUGACGGGUAGCCGGCCUGAGAGGGUGACCGGCCACAUUGGGACUGAGAUACGGCCCAG
RNAcentral lists this ribosomal RNA (241 nucleotides) under uncultured Actinomycetales bacterium. RNAcentral's name for it is "partial 16S ribosomal RNA". It matches the Rfam family "Bacterial small subunit ribosomal RNA", at positions 89 to 334 of the family's 1533-position model. Lineage: Bacteria; Bacillati; Actinomycetota; Actinomycetes; Actinomycetales. The record is from RNAcentral.